CGCGGGCGUACACACGUGCACACACAAGUACGGACAUACACGCGCGCGCGCGCAGGAUACUACAAUGCCCCCUCCCACCUCGUCGAAACGUCACAGUCUCACACACAAAACGCUUUCGGUUUGCUGCAGUGUGACUGGCACGUCCGCGUGCACGUUGGCUUGUUUGGCGAGAGAGGGAGAGAGCGAUUUGGUGCGCGCACGCGCACCGGCAAAAGACUCGCGAAUCAAUCAAAAUGGACAAGUUUUUAUUUUUGAUCGUUUUUUUUUUUUUUUUUUUAUUGAACGGGAACAACAAGCCGCAGCGCCCACUUGCAGGCGACCUGGAUGCCAGAAGACGUCGCAAGUGCUUGGAAGUCAAGACGAAAACAGAGGAGGAAGGAGAGCAAGUUGUGGCCGCUUGCUUUCAGCCAGAAAGUGAACACUUCUGAUCCAGUUAACUGUGGGUAACUCAUUUUGCAUGGACACAAAAUAAAAAACCCUCUCAUAAAAAACAUCUUUGUCAUUAAAUGUGACUUUACAAA
Long non-coding RNA from Syngnathus acus (greater pipefish), 521 nucleotides. RefSeq lists it as uncharacterized. Lineage: Eukaryota; Metazoa; Chordata; Actinopteri; Syngnathiformes; Syngnathidae. The transcript has 2 exons. The record is from RefSeq and is a predicted model, not a curated record.